Molecule: ribosomal RNA, 468 nt
Filed under: uncultured bacterium
Lineage: Bacteria
Description: partial 16S ribosomal RNA
Rfam family: Bacterial small subunit ribosomal RNA
Source: RNAcentral
GACGAACGCUGGCGGCGUGCUUAACACAUGCAAGUCGAACGGAAAGGCCCUGCUUUUGUGGGGUGCUCGAGUGGCGAACGGGUGAGUAACACGUGAGUAACCUGCCCUUGACUUUGGGAUAACUUCAGGAAACUGGGGCUAAUACCGGAUAGGAGCUCCUGCUGCAUGGUGGGGGUUGGAAAGUUUCGGCGGUUGGGGAUGGACUCGCGGCUUAUCAGCUUGUUGGUGGGGUAGUGGCUUACCAAGGCUUUGACGGGUAGCCGGCCUGAGAGGGUGACCGGCCACAUUGGGACUGCGAUACGGCCCAGACUCCUACGGGAGGCAGCAGUGGGGAAUAUUGCACAAUGGGCGGACGCCUGAUGCAGCAACGCCGCGUGCGGGAUGACGGCCUUCGGGUUGUAAACCGCUUUCGCCUGUGACGAAGCGUGAGUGACGGUAAUGGGUAAAGAAGCACCGGCUAACUACGUG